AUGUGUAUACCAAAAAAGCAAGGAGCCAUGGGAUUUAGGGAUAUCCACUGUGUCAAUCUUGCACUGCUAGCUAAACAGGCUUGGCGGCUGAUUGACAACCCGGAAUCUUUAUGUGCAGUAAUUCUCAUGGCAAAGUAUUUCCUAGAGGGAGACCUGAUGAAUGCUACUUCGGACAGAAAAGGAUCAUACACAUGGCAGAGUAUUAUGGUAGGAGUGGACACAUUGAGGAGGGGCUAUAUCUGGAGGAUUUGGGGACGGUCAGAGCAUUGA
This 270-nucleotide ribosomal RNA is filed under the name Triticum aestivum (bread wheat). RNAcentral's name for it is "partial small subunit ribosomal RNA". Lineage: Eukaryota; Viridiplantae; Streptophyta; Magnoliopsida; Poales; Poaceae. The record is from RNAcentral.